Molecule: long non-coding RNA, 378 nt
Organism: Magallana angulata
Lineage: Eukaryota; Metazoa; Mollusca; Bivalvia; Ostreida; Ostreidae
Exons: 3
Source: RefSeq, a predicted model, not a curated record
UCCAUAGAGCCACUCCUCCCAGAUGAUUGGAAGCCACCAACAUGGCCUAGAAAAUUUUUGAUUAAUAUCAUACUUGUCAUUUAUACCAUGGAUUCCCUCGCCCCCAUCAGACCCCGGCCCUAGAGCGGGGGCUCCGGGCAUGGUCAUGUUGGGGUUUUGGAGUCUGAAGGAGCGGCCAUAGUAUGGGAUUCCCAGCACCAGCAUGUUCUUGGGGACACCUGCUUCAGCCCAGCUCCUGGCCAAGGUAUCCCUUCUCCUCCGUCUGAGCCCGGACCUACGGCAGGGGCGCCAGGGAAGGAGUAGUUAGCGCUCUUCAGUUUGAAGGAACGGCCGUAGAAAGCCAGACCUAUGACAAUCUGGCUCGCCGGAACUCCGGAC